UACGGAGGGGGCAAGCGUUGUUCGGAUUUACUGGGCGUAAAGGGUGUGUAGGCGGUGGCGUAAGUCUGAUGUGAAAUCUUCAUCGCUCAACGGGAAGAGGUCAUUGGAAACUACGUCACUCGAGUGUGGCAGAGGCAAGCGGAAUUCCUGGUGUAGCGGUGGAAUGUGUAGAUAUCAGGAAGAACACCUGUGGCGAAAGCGGCUUGCUGGGCCAUUACUGACGCUGAGACACGAAAGCGUGGGGAGCAAACGGG
Molecule: unclassified non-coding RNA, 254 nt
Filed under: uncultured bacterium
Lineage: Bacteria
Description: contains 16S-23S intergenic spacer region
Rfam family: Bacterial small subunit ribosomal RNA
Source: RNAcentral